Transfer RNA from Pseudozyma hubeiensis SY62, 74 nucleotides. It matches the Rfam family "tRNA". From Rfam's summary of the family: Transfer RNA (tRNA) molecules are approximately 80 nucleotides in length. Their secondary structure includes four short double-helical elements and three loops (D, anti-codon, and T loops). Further hydrogen bonds mediate the characteristic L-shaped molecular structure. tRNAs have two regions of fundamental functional importance: the anti-codon, which is responsible for specific mRNA codon recognition, and the 3' end, to which the tRNAs corresponding amino acid is attached (by aminoacyl-tRNA synthetases). tRNAs cope with the degeneracy of the genetic code in two manners: having more than one tRNA (with a specific anti-codon) for a particular amino acid; and 'wobble' base-pairing, i.e. permitting non-standard base-pairing at the 3rd anti-codon position. NCBI's taxonomy places the organism in Eukaryota, Fungi, Basidiomycota, Ustilaginomycetes, Ustilaginales, Ustilaginaceae. The record is from Rfam.
GAAGGUAUAACUCAGUUGGUUAGAGUGCGAUACUUUUAAUAUCGACGUCGUAGGUUCGAGUCCUACUAUCUUUA